GCUAAACGGAAUGAGGGUAGUCAU
RNAcentral lists this microRNA (24 nucleotides) under Medicago truncatula (barrel medic). RNAcentral's name for it is "mtr-miR5294c". The record is from miRBase by way of RNAcentral. Lineage: Eukaryota; Viridiplantae; Streptophyta; Magnoliopsida; Fabales; Fabaceae.